Long non-coding RNA from Oncorhynchus masou masou (cherry salmon), 2676 nucleotides. RefSeq lists it as uncharacterized. NCBI's taxonomy places the organism in Eukaryota, Metazoa, Chordata, Actinopteri, Salmoniformes, Salmonidae. The record is from RefSeq and is a predicted model, not a curated record. The transcript has 3 exons.
CUGACACUAAGUGACAGGCUGCGGUUGUUAGUUAGCAGUCCAGCUAAGUCCAAUUUGUGCAUUAUGAUGUAGUCCUUUUUAGGUUUUUGUUUUCCAGUAGAAUAUUAUAUUAGAAAUCCCUACUAUAUGUGAAGUGCACUGGUGAUGAACAUAGUAAUUGUAGCUAAUUCUACGUUAACAACAAUAGGGAGAAGAGCGCUCGGCGGAAAUGGAGUCUCGAGAGAAAGCAAGACCAAGAUGGGUGUCAGGAGUGGGGCAGCAGUAUUAUCACAAGGAGACGUAUACUUGGAAAACGGAGGAGGAAUGGAGGGAAAAAGAGAGGGCUUGUGUCGGAUAAAAAUUGUGGGAAAGGGGAGAUGGUGGUUACGUCCCAUCCUUUCAGGGUGAUGGCAUGAUGUAGGAAUAAAUACAUUUAAUUAGUGGAGUAGGGUGGUGUUCAUUUAAUUUUAUAUCAUUUUGAAAUUAGUGAGUGUAGUGUUAGAUGGUAGGGUAUUUAUUUAGUACAUUUGUAUUUUUCAAGCAUAGUAUAAUGGAGUUGUACUCCAGUCUAGUAGGUGGCGGUAAUGAAACAAAUUGGAUGUCAACCGCUGUUAAACCUCAGAAGAAGUAAACAACAAUAUGUCUGGACCAAAUGGAGAUCCUAACAUCUCAACUGAUGAUGGCAUCACCGACAAUGAAGAUGAAUUCAGAGUAUGUAGCCAUCAACACUGCUGGAUCAGAUCAACUCCUGCCUGGAGGAACGCAACGACUCACUGAAUGACCAACUACAUGAACUGUUGGAAUCUAACUGGCAGGCCUGGCAGGAGUUCAGCUGAGCACCGCUACACCCCCAGGAGAGGAUCAACAGUCCCCGGGCAAGGAUUCUCCAGCCUCUGAAAGGGAGAAGGGCGAAGAGGAUAAAGCUGGACUACUUAACAUUCCACCUACCAAUAUGAGCAUCUUUCCUUUUCUCAAGUGUUCAUGUGGUAACACUUAAGAGUGAUAUUAUUUUCUCUGUCCCUUUCAUGUAGCACUUAUGAACCCUCCACUAAACUAUAUAGUUUUAAUCGAUACACAGCUGUUGAACUUUUAAGAUGGUUCCUGCUUAGUUAAGUAAAAGAGCCAAAAGCUGAGUACAUUCUGUGUUGAAGUGACUGGUUUAUGCCACCAUCACCACUUACGAUGUAUACCAAUGUUUCAGCUUAGCUGUCCGUAUAGUCCUCAAUUGCCCCCAUGAUUAGUACUUAUUUAUCCAUGUGCUUGGUGUGGGGUGUAAAGCAUGCAGAAUACACUGUGAUUCAUGUAAUAACUGGGGUGUAUUCAUUUUGCCGAAUUGGUUUGUUCCAAAAUGUUUUGCAACGAAAACAAGUUUCUAUUGCACAAAUUCAGGUAGGUCCCUCCCUGUUUCAUUUGCUAUGUUUGGCUCUAAGGUGGUAAACAGUUUCUAUUGUAAGAUGUAAUGAACACAGGUGGCAAAGCAGCUAAGUUAACCUCUAUGGGGUAAUACUACAAAUCAUAUUUGAGCUUUGAUUGGUCAAUAUUUUUCUGUGACAUGCAAGAGAAUGUGUUUGUUUCAGUUUUUCCUUGUCAGAUUUAAAACAGUAUAUUGAAUGUGUUACUGUUAAUUAUCUGAGUGUGACAUCUUGAAUCACUAACGUCAAGAACUAGCUCUUUAAAACAAUGCGAUAUUCAAUAAUCACAGGGAGGCAAUUGUCAAAUUUUAUUAUAAAUUAAAAUGACCCCAAUACAGAAAACAUCCCAAAAUACAUGAAACUUCCAGCUGCUAGAAAACACUCUUGUUCAUCGGUUUGUCAUUUGUAGAAUAAAAAUACAUUAAGAAACAUACAGCUGUUUGAAAUGUCACAUAAAUGACCCUUUCUGUCAUGCUCUGGUCCUGUAUAAUAUUUCAGUGGGACACAAACCAGAGACAAGACAAAUGAGCUUGCUUUCAUCAAAGCCAAUAUGGGUUUGUUUACACAGUUAGCCCAAUUGAUCUAAUUGGUAUUUUGACUAAGAACAUCUCAGAAAAAAACAUCUGAAAAUUGGGCUGCCUGUGUAAACAGUCUAUGCAUCUGCUCUUCCGCUGUACAAGUGAACUAAUAACAACUGCCCAUUCACUGAAAGCAUCAGUAUCAUCUGGGAGAGACUUAUUCCUUACAUGUUCCUUGAAAAAAAAUAGUGGCUGUGAUUGGGGACUCUUAACUGGAGUGCUACAUUACUUGAUUCGGUCUUAUGUAGUUCUGUCUAUAACUUAUGAACAAUUAUCCUAUAUUCAGGUGUCCUCUCACCAAGAGGCCAGUGACAAAUGGUUAUCCACGUCUCGUCAAUUAAAUAGAUCACAAUCUGGUGAAUCAUUCAAUUUCUUCUGUUGGUGUACUUCAAAAUCAGAACUGCUGGUUCUCAGCUUCUGAAACUUUUAGACUGCUACACAUUUAUUACCACUAGGGAAAAUACACUUCCUUCUCUGUGUCUGAAGCCAAGAGAUUUUCCUGAGCAGUUAGAUUACCCCGCUGAGGUCUCAUGAUUAUGAAAAACUCCAAGUCAUAUAAAAUUGAUUAAUUUCAUUAUUGUUGAUAUUAAUGUUACUAAUUUGUAAGGUGACAACUCUGCCAUGCAAUGUUUGUACAGACAAUUCUACUUAAUGACUAUGGCUGCAUUUGGACAUCCAGCCCAAUUCUGGUCUUUUGACCAAUCAGA